UGGGGAAUUUUGGACAAUGGACGCAAGUCUGAUCCAGGCAUGCCGCGUGCGGGAAGAAGGCCUUCGGGUUGUAAACCGCUUUUGUCAGGGAAGAAACGAGUUUCUCUAAUACAGAGACUUAAUGACGGUACCUGAAGAAUAAGCACCGGCUAACUACGUGCCAGCAGCCGCGGUAAUACGUAGGGUGCAAGCGUUAAUCGGAAUUACUGGGCGUAAAGCGUGCGCAGGCGGUUUUGUAAGACAGAGGUGAAAUCCCCGGGCUCAACCUGGGAACUGCGUUUGUGACUGCAUAACUAGAGUACGGCAGAGGGAGGUGGAAUUCCGCGUGUAGCAGUGAAAUGCGUAGAUAUGCGGAGGAACACCGAUGGCGAAGGCAGCCUCCUGGGCCAGUACUGACGCUCAUGCACGAAAGCGUGGGGAACAAACA
This 427-nucleotide ribosomal RNA is filed under the name uncultured bacterium. Its description in RNAcentral is "bacterial SSU rRNA". It matches the Rfam family "Bacterial small subunit ribosomal RNA", at positions 355 to 774 of the family's 1533-position model. The record is from RNAcentral.